This 253-nucleotide ribosomal RNA is filed under the name uncultured bacterium. RNAcentral's name for it is "partial 16S ribosomal RNA". It matches the Rfam family "Bacterial small subunit ribosomal RNA", at positions 524 to 776 of the family's 1533-position model. The record is from RNAcentral.
UACGUAGGGUGCAAGCGUUGUCCGGAAUUAUUGGGCGUAAAGAGCUCGUAGGCGGUUCGUCGCGUCGGCUGUGAAAUCCCGAGGCUCAACCUCGGGUCUGCAGUCGAUACGGGCGGACUGGAGUUCGGCAGGGGAGACUGGAAUUCCUGGUGUAGCGGUGAAAUGCGCAGAUAUCAGGAGGAACACCAAUGGCGAAGGCAGCUCGCUGGGACGGUACUGACGCUGAGGCGCGAAAGCGUGGGGAGCAAACAGG